Molecule: ribosomal RNA, 328 nt
Filed under: uncultured eukaryote
Lineage: Eukaryota
Description: partial 18S ribosomal RNA
Rfam family: Eukaryotic small subunit ribosomal RNA
Source: RNAcentral
CCCUUCGAUGUUCUGGGCUGCACGCGCGCUACACUGAUAAAGUCAACGAGUUUACAACCUUUUCUGAAAGGAAUGGGUAAUCUUUUGAAACUUUAUCGUGAUGGGGAUAGAAGAUUGCAAUUAUUUUUCUUGAACGAGGAAUGCCUAGUAAUAGUGGUUCAUCAGACCGCUGUGAUUACGUCCCUGCCCUUUGUACACACCGCCCGUCGCUCCUACCGAUUGAGUGGUCCGGUGAGGCUUUGGGAUCUGAGCGGAAAGAGCGUUUCGCUGUUUCUGCUCGGAAAACUCAGUCGAACCUUAUCAUUUAGAGGAAGGAGAAGUCGUAACA